CUACCCGCUGACGAGCGGCGGACGGGUGAGUAACGCGUGAGAAUCUGCCCAUCAGUGGGGGAUAACCCGGGGAAACUCGGGCUAAUACCGCAUACGUCCUACGGGACAAAGCAGGGGACCUUUUGGCCUUGCGCUGAUGGAUGAGCUCGCGUCGGAUUAGCUUGUUGGUGAGGUAAAGGCUCACCAAGGCGACGAUCCGUAGCUGGUCUGAGAGGAUGAUCAGCCACACCGGGACUGAGACACGGCCCGGACUCCUACGGGAGGCAGCAGUGGGGAAUCUUGGACAAUGGGGGCAACCCUGAUCCAGCCAUGCCGCGUGUGUGAAGAAGGCCUUCGGGUUGUAAAGCACUUUCAGUAGGGAGGAAGGCUUUCGGUUAAUACCCGGGAGUACUUGACGUUACCUACAGAAGAAGCACCGGCUAAUUUCGUGCCAGCAGCCGCGGUAAUACGAAAGGUGCAAGCGUUAAUCGGAAUUACUGGGCGUAAAGCGCGCGUAGGCGGUGUGUUAAGUCGGAUGUGAAAGCCCAGGGCUCAACCUUGGAAUUGCAUCCGAUACUGGCACGCUAGAGUGCAGUAGAGGGAGGUGGAAUUUCCGGUGUA
RNAcentral lists this ribosomal RNA (600 nucleotides) under Alloalcanivorax marinus. RNAcentral describes it as "bacterial SSU rRNA". It matches the Rfam family "Bacterial small subunit ribosomal RNA", at positions 80 to 677 of the family's 1533-position model. Lineage: Bacteria; Pseudomonadati; Pseudomonadota; Gammaproteobacteria; Oceanospirillales; Alcanivoracaceae. The record is from RNAcentral.